UCUUCUUCGACCAUCGAAAACCCUUCCGUCACCGAACAUUGUGGUCUCACAACCUUGCAGAUUGAGAGGAGGCGUGAGGAGGUGGAGGCAAUGGAGGUUUCAAAAAACGCUUCCAAUGAGUGAAGCCUUGUUGCUGUUGUUUAUAUAGUUUGUGACGUUGUGCUCCUUCUUUCUGGCCAUUCUGGGUUACUAUAUCUCGAUCUAGAUUAUGCCACGCCAAGCACCGAAGCGGGUGCCCUAUCUUUGAAUGGGAGUCGAGUGUGAAAGGUCAGUUUCAAAAUGUCUAAGUGCGAUUUUGAAGUUGAUCUGCGCACAUCAAACUUGGUGUGCACGAGAUGCGGUGGUCGUGGAGUGCACCAAAUUUUAUCAAGAUUUUUUGUAAGACGAAGGAACUCAAAAAUGUCGCUUGGUAACAAUUUUUCUAGCAAUCCUUCGGACACUCUUCACACUUCUUCCGCUGUGUAGUUACAAAGAAACGGUAGUGUGUCGUUUGUUACGUGUAUGGUGAAGGAUUUCUUUGUGAAGAGAUUUUGUAAUGGAUACUGGAGAGGUCGUUUACGUACUGGAAUUAGAAGUUGUCAUUUCUAAAUUUCCUUACCAGAAAUGCAAACAAAAUAUGUAUGCCUGAUUUAUUAUACUCACUAUUUUAUCUACAUUUUUAAGGGAACCCUGUGGUAAACUUCAUAAUCUUACAAUAAUACUAUUUGUUUUCGAUACUCACUCCUGUGUGGCCAUUUGAAGCAGAAAUACUUCUUAUACACUCAUAUAUUUGUUUUCGAUACAAACUAAAGGAAAUUAGUGCAUAUAUGAAAGUUCUGAAGUUGGUGAUCAUCACCAUCUGUUGAUUUUUAAGCUAUGGAAAACUAUGUUUUGAAUUCAUUGUCCUCUCAAAUCAAUCUUAUUUGCUCUCGGGCUGGCAUACUACCUCGGUUCAGAAGCUCAGUAUGGCAUUUUGUUUUUUC
Non-coding RNA from Physcomitrium patens, 962 nucleotides. The record is from RefSeq and is a predicted model, not a curated record. NCBI's taxonomy places the organism in Eukaryota, Viridiplantae, Streptophyta, Bryopsida, Funariales, Funariaceae.